RNAcentral lists this ribosomal RNA (506 nucleotides) under uncultured bacterium. RNAcentral describes it as "partial 16S ribosomal RNA". It matches the Rfam family "Bacterial small subunit ribosomal RNA", at positions 29 to 523 of the family's 1533-position model. The record is from RNAcentral.
AGUGAACGCUGGCGGUAGGCCUAACACAUGCAAGUCGAACGGCAGCACAGGAGAGCUUGCUCUCUGGGUGGCGAGUGGCGGACGGGUGAGGAAUACAUCGGAAUCUACUUUUUCGUGGGGGAUAACGUAGGGAAACUUACGCUAAUACCGCAUACGACCUACGGGUGAAAGCAGGGGACCUUCGGGCCUUGCGCGAUUGAAUGAGCCGAUGUCGGAUUAGCUAGUUGGCGGGGUAAAGGCCCACCAAGGCGACGAUCCGUAGCUGGUCUGAGAGGAUGAUCAGCCACACUGGAACUGAGAAACGGUCCAGACUCCUACGGGAGGAAGCAGUGGGGAAUAUUGGACAAUGGGCGCAAGCCUGAUCCAGCCAUACCGCGUGGGUGAAGAAGGCCUUCGGGUUGUAAAGCCCUUUUGUUGGGAAAGAAAUCCAUCUGGUUAAUACCCGGGUGGGAUGACGGUACCCAAAGAAUAAGCACCGGCUAACUUCGUGCCAGCCGCCGCAGUAA